CGACAAUGGAGUGUGCUGAUUAACCCUUUGAUGGCAUGGGGUUUAGAAAUCCCAUUGCAAGAAAAGGAGUUGCAGAAUUGUUUCUUAUUUCGGUUUUUAAAUAGUUUACUACUUGAAAUUAUAUAUGUUAUCUUAGGCUCUUAAUUCUAAAAUACAUUUGCAACUUUCUUGCUGCAAAAAAUGAAAUAUCAUAUCUUGCUUAGGGUUAAUAUAUGAACAAAAGUGUGUCUGCGCCCAACCUUCCGCGUCGACAAGCAAACAAGCACUGAACGCAGACCUUAUAUGAAUGCUUCAUGGCAUGAGUCUUCACACAACUUUUGGUGACUAGUUUUUAUAGUCGCUGAGAACGAGGCGUCAAACAAGACGGACGCACGGACUGACAUGGCUAUUGAUGCUGUUCAAGAAUAUAUAUAUACGUUAUGGAGUCUAACACGUUUCCUUCUGUGCAUUACAUAUUUCCAAUUUCGAGCACAAAUACAAUAUACCCUAUUUUCUCUUUGAGUACCGUGUAUAAAACGUCGGUUUGGUUCGAUGCUCAAACAAACAAUAUCAAUUUUGUUGAGUAGUGUUUUUCAUGGCAUAGCCAGGUACGGCUUCAGAUGAUCAAAUCACAGACCUGUUGAAAUUCCCUUAUUGUUAAAAAUAUCCUUAACAUACAUACAUCGGUUAAAAAUGAUAUCACGAACAUUUUACAUAUAACUUUUGGUGCUGAUUAUAAAUGUAUGUAACAUACAUACAGUAAGCACACAUAUUAUUCGUACACCACACAUUACCUUAGUUUGAACACCUAUAACUUGGCGUACUGUCAACUUAUAAAGAAAAAGUUAAUUUUGUAUCGAAGAUAAAAAAAAAAAGAAGAUGAAAAAAGAUUUUAAUUUUCUUCUAUGGUAUCCUUAAUAAAAUGAACUUAAGCAAAAAAUACCUUUUUUUCGCACUUAAAUGAUUUGUAAAGCCGUCCGAUUCCGUAAGUAAAGUUCAAAUAUUAAAGGUAACAUGUACAAUGAAUAUUUUUGUUUGCUAUAUUUAGAUUUUAUGAUGACUAAAAGAACUAGAAAAAAAAUCUUUCCGCCAAGGAAUGAAUUAAUAUUGACGCCCUCCACAAUCAGUUCCGGUUGCAAGAAUAAACUUUUGAUAAACUUUUGAGCUUUCGUAUCCUUUUUUAAAAAUUUUUCUCACAGGCUUCAUGGAACUGAAGUUAAUUAACCGUAGUGAAUUUUUCAGCUAGUUGCAGUUUUAAAUGAGCCAGAUUUAAUCUAAAAAAGAUAAAUUUAUGUGUCAAAUUUUUUGGCUGGGUCAAGUUUGACUUCGAAUUAUUAACAAAUGGGAUGACACAAGGAUGCCAAUUGUUACUCAAAAUAUAGUUUAAUAAACCCCUUUUCAUAUUUCCAUUAAAUAAGACCACUCGUAAAGAUGCAGUUCAAAAACAAUGCUGGUGAAAGGCACACUCUGAAAUGCCAUACAGCAGGGACCACCAUUUUCUCAUCAUAGGCUACAUUUAUUUUCGCAAGGCCAUCGAAUCAAAAAUAUGUCUUAGAUGGACUCUCUAGUCAAAUCAGAUUCUCUAGAAAUGAAUCUGGCUAUGGGUUUCUCCAUAAGUCUUCCGGAAAAUAAAUUUAACAUAUCUUGAGAAAAAUCGUAUGGGUCAUGGUAGGGUGCCUGUGUAGGAUUUUAACUGGAGUUUUACGAACGGUAUUUUUUAAAGGAAAUAUGAUCAAGGAAGUACUAAACUUUAUUUUGAGUAACAAUUGGCAUUAUUGCGUCAUUCCAUUUGGUAAUAAUUCGAAGUCAAACUUGACCCAGCCAAAAAAAUGACACACAAAUUUAUCUUUUUUUUUUAUCAAAUCUGGCUCAUUCAAAAUUGCAACUAGCUGAAGAAAUUCUUGCAACCGGUACUCCUUGUGGAGGGGGUCAAUAUUAAUUCAUGGGGCUCCAAUACCAUGGGCGAAAAUUGUUUCUAGUUCUUUUAGUCAUCAUAAAGACUAAAUAUAGCAAACAAAAAUUUGCAUUGUACAUGUUACCUUUAAUAUUUGAAUUUUACUUAAAGAAUUGGACGGCUGUACAAUUAAUUUAUGUGCGAAAUAAAAAAAAAAUAAGGAUACCAUAGAAGAAAAUUAACAACUUUCUUCAUAAACAGAUCAUAUCUUCGAUACGAAAUUAAAUUUUUCUGUUUACGUUGACCGUACGCCAAGGUGCUCAAACUAGGUUGAUGAUGGUGUACGAAUAAUAUGUGUGCUUACUGUAUGUACAUAUAUACCCAUAUCACCGCGAACUGUUUAAAAAAAUAACGAAUAACUGGACUCAAAUCUUAAUAAAGUACAUAAUGUAUGUAGGUACAUACAUACAUAUAUAUGUAUGAUUGUUCAACUUACCUAUGUAUUUUAUGCAUGUGUACUAGGUACAUGUGGAACAUAACAUAUACAUAUGUAUAUAUAUAUUCUCGUUGUCAGAAUAACAUAAUAAUAAAAAUGUUAACUUUUAACUUAAAGUUUUAAAAAGCCAUGUGUCAAUUAAUAAAAAAAAUGUGUGCAAAAAAAAUAAUGUCUAUGUAAAUACAUAUGUAUUUUUAUACAUAUGUACGUAUGUUCAAAUAUUUGUCGACGUGUUUGUACGCUAACGCAAAAGCGGGCAAAGCACAAAGCUGCUCUUUGUUAGCCUCUAACAACUUUCAUACCAAUCGCCACGGUAAGUUUUUUUUCAACAUCAGUACAAAGCUUUAACUCUCGAAACUCCGCACACCCCACGUAACUAUAAGUAGUGGUAUGAGAGGUCUGCUGGUCUCAAUUUGUUUUUAACUUUCGCUGCAAACGGACAGAUGUUUUGCUGAUUUCUAGUGUUACUUCUCUUAAUAUAAUUGUUUGUUAUGAACGAAUUGGUCUUUGGACUGCUAAUAUAAAAUCGUGACUUAAGUUUCAGAAGUUAAGAUCAUUAGUUCGUUUCGUUCAUUAGAAUGAAUGCACAUCUUUCUCUUAUUUUGGCUAUUGCCAUAACAACCAUUGUAGUCCCUUUAACUGCUGGGGCUGACCAAAAAGGGACAGCAGAUAGUGAUGGUGAAAUACGAAUUUAUAAACGCCUUAUUCCGGCUGAUGUACUCAGAGGUGAGUUAGUCCAUUAAGCAUAGUGCAAGAGUUGUAUUUAAUCAUGUUUGAAACACGCGUACCGAAAAUGAUAGCAUCAGUUAGUUUAUGGUACUAUUACCUGACCAGUGUUGAUUCAUACACUUGCAGAACAGCUCUUCGACGUUAAAAAUCAGAAAGCUUUAACCUCGUGUGUAUUUGUAUAUGUAUGUAUUUAUUUUUAUUUAUAAUCCUGCUUUACUCUUUAGUGCAAGGUCAUUUUAAUUUUGUUUAAAUACUUCAUAUUGCAACUGUAUAAGCCGCAGAACUCGGAUGCGAAAACCAUUUAUGAGUCUACAAAUGUUAUCCGUACAUACAUAUGUACGUAUGCAGUUUUUUAGACUAUUGGGAUAUGUUUAAGUUUGUAUGUACAUAGUACAUAUGUACAGGCGAAAAAUUGUCGAUUCGAAAAUGUUACAAAUGAAAUGGCAUACAUUUCUGUGAACAAGGAAUCUUCAGAAUUACGUUACUUCCAAAUACUUACUUACAUAAAAUGAUAUUCUCACAGAAUGUAAGAAGACUUUUCUUCAAAGGGAACAAAAUACAAAUGCAACUUACUGGUACAAUAGGUUUACGAUGAAUAUUCAGCAUUUUUCACCAUUUUUUUUCUCGCAAUCGAAUAUAUGUAUGUACAUAAUGUAUCAAGAGAUUUUGAUUAUUUGCUUACAGAUUUUCCGGGAAUGUGCUUUGCUUCCACACGUUGUGCUACCGUUGAGCCCGGUAAAUCAUGGGACUUGACUCCGUUCUGCGGUCGUUCCACCUGUGUGCAAAACGAAGAGAAUAAGACAAAGUAAUAUUUUAACUCAGUUGCUUUACAUUAUCAUUAUCUAUCAUUAUAUAUCUAUUCACAGACUUCUGGAGCUUGUUGAGGAUUGCGGGCCGCUGCCAUUGGCAAAUGACAAAUGUAAAUUGGACACAUCAAAGACCAACAAAACCGCUUCUUUCCCGUAUUGCUGUCCUAUAUUUACAUGUGAGGCGGGAAUCACGUUGGAAUACCCUGAGAUUGAAAAGGAGGAUGCCAAGAAGAGUGAUGUAUAAAUUUGAACUUAUAUUUGAGUUAUGAUUGGUAUCCCGAGUAUUUAAAUAUGUGUUUUAUUUGGGUCAGAUAAAUCGGAAGAUUCUAUUAGAAAAGUUGAAUAAGAAAUAAAGUUAAAGGCCAAAUAAAAGUGGUCCCACUGCAAAUGUUUUAAAUUAAUUGUGUGACGAACAUUAAAUUAAGUUAACAUAACUAAGUGAACAUUUUCAAAACAUUAAAUUAAACUUUAUUAUUUUCAUAAAUUUCUUAAGUAGAUGGCGGAGAAUGAACGGCCACUGCCCUAAUGUGAGGAUGCAGGGGUUGCUAGAUCCGCGGCGAUUGGAGAGGUAUAACCUGGCGACAGGCUUGAUGCGGCCUGAUGGGAGGAUGUCCCCAACAUGCCGAGAGUCCAAGUAAACCCGCUGAACCGGAGAAAAUCCUAACGAUUCUGUGGGUCUGCGGCCCACGCUUCCUACAGACAAUUGAAAGAUGGCCUCCUCGGCAAAACGGGCGGAGUAGUGAGAUACGGAAGGUGACCGAAGGCAUCUACAAGUCAGUCCCGAAGGGUACGCCAGCCGAGAUCGAGUGGAACCGGAGAUAGACAAUGUAACGGGAGGCUUAACCUCGAACAUCCGUCCAGAGGCCUCGGAGACAUCGAUAUCGGAGAUGAGGAGGAGUCUCCGGAGAGCGUCCUGAAAUUGGUGGAGGGGAGUCUCAGGAAGGUCACUGACAAUCCUGCAGAUAAACCUCCACCAUUGUAAGGAAGCAUGUGUUCCUCUUCUAGCCAAGGGUGAAUCCCUGAAUCCCUGAAAGGCCUGAAUCCGUGACGGACAAGACUAAAAGCUAUACUUAGCAGGAGAACUAGAGUUUCAACUUGCUUGAGCUCCCAAAUUUCAGUAAUGACGACCACAAAUCAGAAAGCCUCGAAGGCCAGGAGUGCUCUCUGAGGAUUUUGAUUUAGAAUUUAGAUUUAGAUUUUCUAUAUCCGAAAAAUGUUUUUUGUACCCGGUACUUGAAGAGUAAAUAAGGUAAUUUGUUUUUGUGGUGGAAUGUGCAUGUAAGUAACGCACAGAAGGAAACGUUUCCGACCCCACAAAGUAUAUAUAUGUAUUCUUGAUCGGCAUCAACUGCCGGUUCUAUAUAUGUCUGUCUGUCCUUCUGACUGUCUGUCCGUCUUGCUUGACGCCUCGUUCUCCAAGAGACUACAAGAUCUAGAGUCACUAAAUUUUGUGUAAAUUGUGAUAUCACACUGAAUAAAGUUUGUCUUAAAAUCUCGCACUGCCUAAUUAUAGCUUAGUAUUCAGAUCGAAAAAGGGGCCGCUAGAAAAAUCAGGGAUGAUAUUCGUAUGGAACCGAUAAGAAAUUUUGCGCACACAAGUUACUUUCUAGCGGUUGUACGUAGAUUGACAAAAAAAAAAGGCCGAUUAAAUCUAGAAAGUGGUAUUGUGUGGUAUUCGUUGGUAUUUUGCUAGCAGCUCGACAAAUAUAGAUUUGUUUUAGAUUCCGAGAGGGUACCUAGCUAACAGAGUAAAGUCUCAAUCAAAUGGAGGCAACAAUUACUCUGAAGUUGAAAGAAAAUGACCACAGUGCUUCUAAACGAGCUUAAGGCCAUCAAACGGCAAAGAAAGGAAACAAUUAUUAUAGAUUAAUGAGAUUAUAUUGAAUGUAUUUGCAUUUAUAAUUUUUUUAACUUAUUUGAACGUCAGUUGCUUAAUGUUGCCAAGACACAGACCGGGCUAGGGUGUUAACAAAAUGUUUUAAGUUGUUUUCCUUUUUGGACCAAGUACUGCUCCACAGGGUCGUGCCGUGGAGGGGCGAAGGCGGCGAUUUUGGCUCAAAACUAUCCAACUUUGAAUAGGAAGGAUGCUUGGUGGCGCAUUUUUACCACUUUGCCACUGGCGAAAAUAUUCCUUGGCACGGCCUUGCUGCUCCAUAUGCAAAUUCUCUGUCAUAUCGUUUCAUGGGUUUCCAUAAAUGUACGCAUAUUUAUAUUAUUUAUAAUACUCAAAUGUAUGGACAAACAACUGUCCAGUUUUUUUUCGUGCAGAUAUGGGUUUAAUCAAAGUUGUCGGCGGCUAUUUCGUUGGUUGUCCUCCUCCUUCGAUCAUGCAAGAGCCGCCCAUCCCACUAAAAGCAAUCUCCUGCAUGAAUCCCUUUUUCAAUCAUUGUUUUAUUAAACUUUUUUUCAAUUUGCACACAUUUUCAAAAAGGUAAACAAAACAACACAGCUGCCUGAGAAGUGUAGAAGUCUGCUGCUAGCAAAAUAUAUUGCACAGUUAGCUAGCAAGCGUGUUUUUCGAUCUGAGUACUAGGCUUAAGAUUACAUAUGUACAUAUAUACUGACUCUUUGCCGGGUAUAAACGCUGUGACGCGUACGAAGCGUCUCACAAACGGUCCUACUCGUUUGUAUUUCUGUAGCCCAGUGCUCAGGUGCGCUACAUUUUCGGUCGACAUACAAUUUAGCAAGCUGGCUGCUUCCAGUUGAGUACUCAGUUCAGCGGAGAAAAUACCAGAAAACAAACCGAUUAAAUACUACAUCUCGAAGCGAAAAAAAUAAUAUUUCUGCCUUCGGUUAACAGAAACAUAUACGCAUAUGUGUGUGUCUCACACACACACAUAUUCAAAAGUUAAAGGAAAAAAGCGAAUCAAGCGCACAACGGGAAGAAUAUACCACUGAUGAAGACAAUUUUAAUCUUAUUCAUGCAUUCGAGCGUACAUGGAGAUUUCUGUCCGCCGGAACGGACACAUAAUGCGGUGCUUUCUCCAUGCAUUGCUGUCCUCAAGUCUCCAUAUCCACUCUGAAAUAAUUUUCAUGCAACAGUUGAAUUUUCUACGUAUUACGUAUUUCAUUUUGCAUCAAUAGCCAAGUCGAUAGAGCCAUGUCUGUCUGUCCGUCUUGUUUGUCUUCUAGUUCUCAGAGACUAUUAGAGCUAGUGCCACCGAAUUUUGCUACCAUACUUUUGUAUGCUCACACUGAAAGCAGUGUAUUUAAAAAAUUUGACUCGCCCACAGCCACAAAUUUGAAGCUAAAAGAAAACGAAAAACGCCAUAUCUGUCAUAACCGUAUGAAACUGUCAUGACCAUAUCUAUCAGAUCACUGAAUCUAAAUAAAAUAAAAACAAUAAGGGACAGAUGUCUUACUGAGUACUGCGCAUGGUAAAAUUAGUAAGAGGUGACGUCGUCAGCUUUGUGGAGGACCACCAGCUAUUCACCAAGCUUGCUCAGCUUUAAAAAACGCAAGAGCUAGAGAGAGAUAGCAAACGUUUAUAAGUAAUUUCACCACCCAACUGGUGGGCCUCGAAUGAGAAGGCACUGUGGUGAAUCCACAGUCUGAGAAAAUGGUCUAAAAUUGAAUCUGGAAUAUGAUUAUCUAGAAGGAGGCAGUCUCCUGGCAUAAGACUAAUUAAACCUGUAUAACCUUUGUAUAAAAACACUUACAUACAUAAUUUGAUGUGCGGUCAGGGGCAAGCAGUGAGAAAAAAGCUUGCCGCUUUGGUGGGCUCGCAACAGUAGUUUUGUCAAACUGGUUCGGUAUCAGUGAUGGAAUAUCCGGAUUAAUGAGGAUGUGUUAGCUACGAUUCUCUACAGCCGAGACUACGAGACUCUACAUUCAAUUCGAGAUGAUCAAUUCGGUUACCGAAUCUGCAUCACCAGCAGCAGUCUUUGUAAUGAGGUUGCAAACGAUAUCAGCAGCAACCCUGAUGUAACUUUUUCAGAUGCUUGAGAUUUUUGUCCUCGGUUUUCAUCAUAAUAAUUAUAACGAGAAGGGACGUUUGAGACGCUUUUUACGCGUCACAACUUUUAUACCCGGCACUCAGGACUACAUCUGCACCUUAGCGGUUAUUUGUCAAAUUUUAUAUUUUUUCUUCAUCUGUCAUCUACAUCUACAACACUUCCCACACCAACACGCUCCGUUAGCUCGCCGCCCUUCCCUAGACCCACACACUCCAGACUCGAGGCAGAGGCACCGUCCGCACACAAAAAAAAAAAACAAAUAAAAGCUGCGGGACGGGGUGGGCUAAAAGUCGGAAGAGG
This 8163-nucleotide long non-coding RNA is filed under the name Drosophila guanche. The record is from RNAcentral. Lineage: Eukaryota; Metazoa; Arthropoda; Insecta; Diptera; Drosophilidae.